RNAcentral lists this long non-coding RNA (863 nucleotides) under Mytilus galloprovincialis (Mediterranean mussel). The record is from RNAcentral. Lineage: Eukaryota; Metazoa; Mollusca; Bivalvia; Mytilida; Mytilidae.
GGGGUUUGCAUGUAAAUUCCAUAUCUGGCCGGAAUGUCUGUUUCGCCGAACUGAUAUAUUGAAUACUUUUUUCAAGGCACGACUGCAACCUGCCUGCUGGGCGUGGCCUUUAUGUCUCAAUUUCUCAUUCAUAAAUUCGUAGUCAUUUCAGACUCAUUUGUAGCCUUUUGUUGAUUUGGAACCCCUCACUUCCCUUGUUGUGUGAAACAUUUCAACAAAACAUUUUGAUAAAAAUUGCUUGUUUGUCUUUCUUAAAUCGUGUCGGUCGUAUUGUAAAUUUCAUUGUAUCAUCCGGCGUAUAGUUUGUUUACAACAAGAUAUCUGUGAGUUUAUACUAACUAAACAUACAACAAACGCGAAUUUUCCAUGUUUAUUUUUUACUGACAAUUAAGUCCGACAUCAUAUAUAUUAGUCUAUUAUAGCUUAGGAUUUAUCCAAUCAUUACAUAAUAGAUAAUUAAUGGGGAUAAAACGGCAUAAAAAAUGUUUAACCCUUACACUUUACUGCAACUUUAGAAUAUACAUGCCCAAAGUCAGGAACCGUUUAAAAAGUGCAUUUUACCCUUAUUUUAUGUUUUUUUUUAGCCUAAAUAAGGUCCCAAAAAUUUUUCGGCGCGCUCCGCUCGGCAAACAUUAUCACCUCGCUCCCCCUUUCCAAAAUCCUGGAUCCGCACCUGCAAAGGAAACUAAUAUUCGGUCAUAUCGCUUUGGAAUUCAACAGACUGUUUAAUUCCAAACACCGAAGACACUCAGAGAGCUUUGCAAUUGCAUACGAUGUUAUAAACCUCACCCUGCAGAGUUAUCAUUUAAACAUGUAUACGCUGAAACAUUCUUUUUAAAAAUGUGUGUUUUUUAUUUGUUUUU